Molecule: ribosomal RNA, 392 nt
Filed under: uncultured bacterium
Lineage: Bacteria
Description: partial 16S ribosomal RNA
Rfam family: Bacterial small subunit ribosomal RNA
Source: RNAcentral
AUACGGAGGAUGCGAGCGUUAUCCGGAUUUAUUGGGUUUAAAGGGUGCGUAGGCGGAAAGGUAAGUCAGCGGUGAAACUCAGGUGCUCAACACCUGCCGUGCCGUUGAUACUGUUUUUCUGGAAUGCGGAUGCUGUGGGAGGAAUGUGUGGUGUAGCGGUGAAAUGCAUAGAUAUCACACAGAACACCGAUUGCGAAGGCAUCUCACAAAUCCGUGAUUGACGCUGAGGCACGAAAGUGUGGGGAUCGAACAGGAUUAGAUACCCUGGUAGUCCACACUGUAAACGAUGAUAACUCGCUGUUGGCGAUAUACAGUCAGUGGCCAAGCGAAAGCGAUAAGUUAUCCACCUGGGGAGUACGUCGGAAACGAUGAAACUCAAAUGAAUUGGCGGG